CCAGGUUCCUGUCAGUGACCAGGUUUCUGUCAGUGACCAGGUUCCUGUCAGUGACCAGGUUCCUGUCAGUGACCAGGUUUCUGUCAGUGACCAGGUUCCUAUCAGUGACCAGAUUUCUGUCAGUUACCAGGUUUCUGACAGUGACCAGGGUCGCAUUAAGGUAAUGAAACAGUUGCAUGAACAUUUUCGUCGCACAACCUUUUCUUAACUGACAACACCUGAAUGUGGACCACCCCAGCAGUACAUGUAGAUGAGGCAGGCUGACCUCACUAUCACCAAAAGCCAACAAACCUAACCUAUCAUCAACAAACCUAACCCAGCAGGACAGAGAAUCUCCG
Molecule: long non-coding RNA, 338 nt
Organism: Esox lucius (northern pike)
Lineage: Eukaryota; Metazoa; Chordata; Actinopteri; Esociformes; Esocidae
Source: Ensembl